Molecule: long non-coding RNA, 5546 nt
Organism: Phacochoerus africanus (Common warthog)
Lineage: Eukaryota; Metazoa; Chordata; Mammalia; Artiodactyla; Suidae
Exons: 4
Source: RefSeq, a predicted model, not a curated record
CCCACUGAGCAAGGCCGGGGGUCAGACCCGCAACCUCAAGGAAACUAGUCAGGUUCUUAAGCUGAGUCACAACGGGAACUCCAAAAAUCAGUUUUUAGAUGGUUGGUUUCCAAACAUUCCAGGCGCUUUAGGAUAUUUGCUUUCAAACACCAGAGCAUAUCAGAAUCCCCAGGAGGGCUUGUUAAGAUUUAGAUUGCUGGUCCCACCUCCCCGCCAGAGUUCCUGAUUAAGCAGGUCUGGGGUGGGCCCUAAAAAUGUUCCGUUUUUAACGAGGUCCCAGGUGAUGCUGAUGGUGCUGGUUUUCGGGCCGCACUUUGAGAACCAUGGGAAAUAGAAACUGUGUUAGAAAAGGAAGACUGGAGGGCCCAUCCUCAGUGCCUGCCAAGCUGUGUGUGUGCAGCUUCAUCCCAGUGCAGAUGAUGGAUGGGGAGCACGAGCCUAUGUGCUGGCUGGUAGGAGGGCACAAAAGGAGAAGACAGAACCCCGAGGAAGCCUCGGGAUGGAAGGAGGCAGGGCCUGGGGCUAGGCAGCGGCAAGGUUGCCAGCAGCUGUGGAGAGGCGGGGGCUGGGGAGCCUUCACCCUUAUUUGAUCUCUGGCCCAGCUCCCAUCGCCCCCUGCAGCUCAGUGCUGACCUCUGCAAGACUGGAGCAAUAGCAAUGUUUGGACUGCUUGUAUUUGUUCAAAAAGCAGUCCUUUCAGAACAUCCAUGAUCCCCUUUUCAUCCCUCUAACAACAACAAAAUAUUUGGAAGCGGCAGGAAGAAAAUCACUCCGGAUUUGAGAGCCUUCAGCAGGGUCAUGUGCUCCAAGGCAUAGCCUCCACCACUCCCUGUAAUCUUGUCACCGAUUUUUCUCCACUCCUUUCUUUACCAGCUUAGGUGUCCUGAUGUGACACCUAGAACCAAGGAUCCCAUUUUAUGACCAAGACGGAAGCUGGCCCGGAAGCAAAACGGUCUCAAACAGCAGAGGGAAAGAUGGAAAGAACCUAGGACUUCAAUGAUUGUCUCGUGCUGCUGAAACAAGCCAACUCUGAGAGAGUCCAGCUUCUGGACGUCUUCCAUGAAAUGCAGCUUCUACAGGUCAUAAAAGGUGUAAAGAUGGGGCACACUGGCAGGGAUGGAUCCCUGGCCAGAGAGUCCGAAGCCCCUUCCACCCCCGCAGCUCUUCUCCAAAGGGAACACUCUGUUCCUUUCCUUGGGCGAACCAGACUCAGGCCCCUGCUGGUUCUUGAGUCAGCGGGGAGGCUGACCCAGCAGCCGCCUCCUGGCCAGAAACCAUGCAAGCAAGAAGAGAAUGGAGUGAAUGUUACAAGUUUUCAGAGAAAAAGCUACCAACCUAGAAGUCUGUACUCUGCAAAAUUAUCCUUGAGAAGUAACAGAGAAAAAGAAUUUCUCAGAGAAAAAAAAAAUUUGAGGAAAUUUGUUGCCAAAAGAACUGCCUUGGAAGAAAAGCUAAAAGAAGUUACAUAAAGAGAAGGAAAUUACCAUGGGUUGGAAACUCAGCUCUGCAUGAAGAAAGGAAGAGCAUUAAAGAAGGAAAAGUCAAGAUAGAAAUCUUCUAGGGAUGGCAUUUUCCUGAUACUGCAAAGUCGGUCGAUUGUCCAAAGACUUGCACUUUCGAAUCGGACUGAACUGGAAGGCACUAUUGCACCCUCAAGUCUGAAAGAUUUGAGUUCAAAUCCUGACUCUACAACUUGUGAGCUAUACGACCCGCUUCGUGACCUUCUCCAUACUUGGCUCACCUGGAAAUCGGUGGUAAUAACAGCACUGCCCUUCCUCCUAAGAUCGAGGAGAUGAUUAUGGGAGGUGAUGCCUACAUUGCUUAACGCAACAGCUGGCCCUCGGGACCUACCCGGAAGCGAUGUGACCCUGUGUCAAGAGGCACCGUGGAUGACGUGGUAGCCACACAUCAUAAAGGCAAUGCCAUCCUCAUUUUGGUGGAGGUGACAAGACUGUGACCUAUUUUAGCACCUCCUUCGGUCAUAAGCAAAGGAGGAAAGGAGACAAACGGAAACACAAUGCUUGAGUUUCUCAGGCCAGGUGACAAGAAUAACCAGGGCUGGACCUGAUCCUGUAAAGCCCUUCGAUUGCAUGCAAACUUCAGAGCAAACCCGCUAAGGAAUUUCAGUUCCCAGGUCUCCCCUGGCAGGCACACCUGGCACAGAGAUGGGUUCUUUGCGCAAAAGCCUUUCUGCCAAGCGACCAACUCAACCACCAUGGAGUGGUUCCUGGGAAAACAGCCGAGAUUCUGGAAUGGCAGGCUUGCUUGGGCACCAGAGGUGCAGGAAAAACAGACACUUGGCUUUCCAGGAAAGGAAAUCUCGGCCAAUUAGGAAAAUCUAAAACCAGAGAGGUAAGGCAGCCAAGGGCACAUCCCGUCUGGAAAGCUCAGGGUGGGGACAGGCACCAACCCGGGUGAGGGGUGGCUAACCUGUCUUGGUUCCCAGCCUGCCACUUUAUCUGAAGCCAUUUCCUGCUGCGCAUGGGGACAGCGUCCUACCACCACCAGGAAGACUGGCUUGUGUGUUUUAUCAUCGUCAUCAUUAAGGAUUUUUAAAUGAAAUUUGGGAUUCGAAAGUAAAUAGCCCUUGGGAUGGGGCGCUGCCUGGAGAGUAAGAGCGCUUUGGGAACAUUCUCUGCCAGCCUCCCCUGGCCCUCCCGCCUGCCCUUCCCCCUCAUCACUGUCCUUGGUGACCUACAUCUCCAACCAGAGGGGGUGUAGGACCAUCAAGGGGGCCUGCUCUGUCCCCGUUUCCGGCAGGCUCCUCAGGACAGCUUGGCUGGCAUCUUCCUGCUUCUGGGUUCAUUUUCUACCACUCCCUCCCACCCAAAAGAAUUGGUGGAUAUGGGGCAGGAGUGCGUUGUGAACAUCCUGAGACAGGGUCCUCUCUGGGGACCAGAGCCCCCUGUAAAAGCGCUAAGGGCAGCACUUCUCCCUGCUGCCCCGAACAAUUUCCUCGCAGUUUAAAUUUUCAUUUAAAGUCACCAUUUCCAGUCCUACUGACAAGUCUGCAGGGUCGGAAAGUGGCCUGGCUGGGAGCAGCAGCGCGGGCAGCAGGCAGCCAGGCCUGGCCGGUGUGUUGACAGCUGGGAGCCAUCCCGGCGGCCUGGGGACCAGUUCACGCUGCGAGAUCGGUUCCGCCCACCCUGACUGGGCCAGAGCUCCUGCCAUGCAGCUCCAGGCCCUCGCACUCAGGAGGCAUCUUCUCUGUCCUUCCCUCUGCAGCGUCAGCAGGCCUGGCUCUUCACCUCGCCUCCUCGAGGGAGCUCUGGAGAAUUUCCCCUCUAAUUUCAAAGAAAGCAUCUCCUACUCGGUCCCACUGUGACUGCCUUUAAAGACUAAAGCUACCCAGGGAGAUCAUUCGGCCAAAGGUCAGAGGGCUCAGCCCCAUGCUGGGCUCCCUGAUGCAAAAUAAGUGAGUCCACAGGCCCAUCUCGGGAGAAAUGGGACAGGAGGACCCCCUGGGUUGAGACCCCUCUUGCUCAUGGAUUCAAGUUCCCAUGUAUACUGGCAGCAGCCCAGGAGUGGAGUCUUUCCCCAGGAGGUGACAUUGGCAUUGCAUCUUGAAAAAGGAAGAGGCGCCAGGGGAGAGGGACAGCAUUUGUCAAAGGUCAGGAGACAGGCAUUGUGAGCCCUGGGGCUCUUUCUGGUUUGUGAAAAGCAGGAAGUCCCCUGAGCAGAGUCUGCAGAGAGGCCUGGAGCCAGACCAGGAAUGGCCUCCUGGGUAAAUGUUCAACAAGCAGCUGUGGGCCGAACUGGGCAAGUUGCUGACAUGUAAUAUCUGUACCAAUUUCCGUGGUGUAAAUACCUCCCUCCGUGGCAGGUUUCAAUCUACCAAUAGUUUGACUCGCAACUCACAAAAAUUCCUGGAGAUUUAACAGUCAGUUUGCAAACUGGCAAAGGCCAGCUCCAACAGCAAUGGUGCUUCACACAUCAGAUGUAACCCCCCCUCCCCGUCCCCACUCCCCCAUUCCCUGCCAAAGAAUCUCUACAAAGGCCUUGGGGAAGGGGCCCCAUUAAUUAACCCAGUCUCCCUCACCUCUCCUUGCCCAUAGCUGUUCCUUCUAUCUGCCUCAUGGACACAGGCGUGAAGCUCAGUCACUUUUCCUGGAGAUCCACAAAAAAAUGCUCCCUCACACAGCAUAGCCGCCCUGUGGAGGGGAGAAGGCCCACAUCACAACGAUGCUAAUGACAUCAAAUGUUAAACUGCCCAUUCUUAAAUUUCUCCUUAGCCAUUUCCAUCAUGCUGGGCUUUGGUUCCUGCCAUAGUUCUUUGUCCCCCUCUCUCCAAUCUUGACCGACUCCCUCUGUCCUUGACACGCCCCCCCCUUCCCCCAAGCCCUCCUAUCUAUCAAAGAGAGCAAUUUGGCCCUUUCUCCCCACCCCUGGCCCAGGCCUUCACUGCUUGGUGCAAAUCCAAGCCACCAAUGGCUAUUUCCAGUCCGAAGGACUUCUGGGCGUGGAGAGAAAUGUUGACCAUGAUUUAUAUCUAGUUUAAUGCCCAUUUAAUGUCCACUAAUCUUAUGAAAUUAUAGUUUAAAAUUAUGAAGAGAGUUUAUCAGCAUUCUUUUAAAUAUGCACACAUUGCUCAUAGCUACUGAAGUAAACAUUCAUUGUAAACAACAAUGUACCACCACACACCUGUCGGACGGACCAAAACCCAGAGCACGGACAGCACUGAUGCUGGGAGGAUGCGGAGCAACAGGAACGCUCAUUCAUCGUUGGUGGGAAUGUAAAAAAAUGGUGCAGCCAACAUUUCUCCCAGAGCUAAACACAGUCUUACCGUCCGAUCCAGCCGUCGCCAUCCACGGUCUUUACCUAAACGCGCUGAAACUCGCCCACACAAAAACCUGCACACAAAUAUCUAGAGCAGCUUUUUCAUAAUCACCAAAACUUGGGAGCAACCAGGGAGUCCUUCAGCUGGUGAAUGGACAAACUGAUACAGCCAGAAAAUGGAAUAUUAUUUAGAACUAAAAGGGAAGAAGAAGAAAAAAAAAAAAAAAAAAAAAGAGCUACCAAGCCAUGGAAAGACAUGGAGGAAGCUUAAAUGCAUGUUGCUAAGUGGGGAAAAAAAAGCCAGAUUAUAAAGUCUACAUGCUGUAUGAUUCCAACUGUAUGAAAAUCUGGAAAAGACAAAACUAUGGAGACAGAGGAAGGAACAGUGGUGGCCAGAGCCUCGGAGGGGGGGGGCGGGUGUCAUGCGGAAGGAUGAAUAGACUGAGCACAGAGGCUUCUAAGGGCAGUGAAAGUCCUCUGUAGGAUGCCACAGUGGUGGGUUCAUGUCAUUAUGUAUUUGUCCGAACCCCUGGAACGCACACCAUCCAGAGCGAACCCUAAUGUGAACGAGGGACUUUGGCUGAUGAUGCUGCAUCAGGGCAAGCUCACAGAUUGUAGUUCACGUACCUACCACUCUGGCGGGGGGAAUGUUGAUAGUGUGAGGCUUGUGUGUGGUUGGGGCACAGGGCGUAAAUGGGAAUUCUCUCACUUCCCACAGUUUUGCCGCAAACCCAAAACUGAUCUACAAAUAAAUUCUUUUCUUAAAAAUG